GACUUCGAGUCCGACUGUUCCCUGGUCGGAGCAUCAGGGCGCCGGGGGGCUGAAACGGCUACUACUCCCGGGGGCGGCAGGCGCGUAAUUACCCAUCUGAUAGGGAGGUGGUGACGAGAUAUAACAACGCAUUUCAUUGUGAUUGUAGUGAGGUUUUUCCAACCGAACCACUAGUACGAUUAGAGGGCAAGUCUGGUGCCAGCAGCCGCGGUAAUUCCAGCUCUAAUAGCGUAUAUUAAAGUUGCUGCAGUUAAAAGCUCGUAGUUGGAUUUCAAGGAUUGUGUACUCUCUCAGAGCACGCACCUACUAGUCUUUGACUUGUUACUGUGAGAAAUUAGAGUGUUUAAAGCAGGCUAUUGCAAGAAUACAUUAGCAUGGAAUAACGAAUGUAUCCAGAUCUUGGUUAAUCCAGGACGAAAGAGAGAAGGGAAGAGAAUUGCAGAGUGAAUUCUUGACUCGCCCACCACCACCCCCGCAAAGAUCGCAAGAUGUUUCUUAUCAGACAAGAAAGGAUAAAGAUAUAGAUACUGUCGAGCCUAUCAUAACUAUGCGACUAGGAUUGAGUGAAUAUCCCAUUCAGACCUUUGAGAAUCGAGUCUUGGGUCUGGGGAUUGUCCCAAAUUGACCUAAAAUUGACGAGACCCAGAGUGGGCUGCGCUAAUGACCAACGGAACUACAGUCGACUGAGAUGCAUGAGCUUUC
RNAcentral lists this ribosomal RNA (702 nucleotides) under uncultured rumen protozoa. RNAcentral's name for it is "bacterial SSU rRNA". The stretch from base 1 to 607 matches the Rfam family "Eukaryotic small subunit ribosomal RNA", at positions 342 to 1116 of the family's 1831-position model. The record is from RNAcentral.